AUCUGGAUGGUGCAGUGGUUAGCGCACCUGCCUAGUAAGCAAGAGACCUGGGUUCGAAUCCUAGUCCAGCACA
Schistocerca serialis cubense is the source of this 73-nucleotide non-coding RNA. The record is from the annotation of a RefSeq genome assembly. NCBI's taxonomy places the organism in Eukaryota, Metazoa, Arthropoda, Insecta, Orthoptera, Acrididae.